This 1093-nucleotide long non-coding RNA is filed under the name Callithrix jacchus (white-tufted-ear marmoset). RNAcentral's name for it is "lncRNA (ENSCJAG00000075964.1)". The record is from RNAcentral. Lineage: Eukaryota; Metazoa; Chordata; Mammalia; Primates; Cebidae.
AAAAAAAUGCAAUUAGUUACUGGUGAUACUUAAAAGUAAAAUGAUACCAAAUAAAGUGCGAUCUUUACCCCUUUCUUGCUAACGAGCUAGUAAUACUUGCAGAAAUCAUUGCCUUCACAAGUCACUAUGAUUGCGGUCGAAUUUUGAAUUGAUACAAUCUUUUACAAUUUGUUUUUGAUAAUACAUAGCAAGACAGAAUUUGCUAUUUUCCUUUGAUCCCCAACAAGCAGAUGCCUUGGGACACGCUUGAAGAAAUAAUGGAGAAAAAUAAUAUAUUCAUAAAGAUGUGCCUCCCAGCAUUACUUGUAAUAGUGGAAUUAGAAACAACCUAAAUUUUUUAAAUAGGGACUCAAGAUGGCGCUGUGAGAACAACCCAGGAUUGAAGCUCUUGCUGGAUGCACGGAGAGGAUUAAGACGUCAAAACUAUAAUUGUGAAAUCUGCUUCAAGGCAAAAGACUUCUUCAGGCAUAGAACUGCAUUACAAUGCUUCCAACAGCCUUCAUAUGAACACCUCCCAGAGUUCCACAUAUAGAAGAACCUAUGAACAAGAUGAUUCAAAGUAUGAACAUAGGAUUGCAGAGGCCCAAAAGAAUUUGUACUUCAAGACUAGGCUGACGUGCCCUACGUCACUUUCAGGAGGAAGAUAAAGGGCCUUAAUCACUUAUGAAAGGUCUCAAGAGCCUCUAUACUAUUCAUGAUACCAAGUUAAUUUCUUGUGUUGGAAAAAAAUAAUCUUGUUCACAAUGUAAUUUGGAAAUAAUUCAAUGGAAACAUUAAUAAGACUGCAUGCUUACAAGGAGUCAGCUAAACGUAAGGAAUGUUUUCAUAACAAUAUUAUUCUAUGGGUACUUCUGUAAGGUGGAUGAUCAUCUUAAUGUAAAGAAAAAAGGGAGAUGAAUCAAAUUGUCUAACAAGACUGUUGUACCACAAGUGUUGGCAGGUGCAAUGUGUAAUGGAGAAAUGUACCACAGCUUAACUGGAAGAGGGAGCCCUUAACUGCUGAUGACAAUGCUUCAGUGUUCCCUUUUCUGGACUAAAUAAGCUAUGAAUAUGUUACAAGCAUCAUAAGACAACCUUUUCAGAGUCUUCUGCA